AAAAUCGUUCGGCUUGCCUUGAGUUUUGGCGUCGUUGCCCAAUAUUGGUACCAUUUCCGGCGACACGGAAUGCGACAUCGCGUCCAGCGUCUAUGACAUACGGGAGCCAGAAGCAUGAAUAUGCGAGAGAGAUUUGGUUAAGAUCAAGAAAUGAAUUCAUGUAUCGUAUCAAAGCAGACAACAACUCGAUCAAUGCAAAACGAUGUACAACGAUUAGUUCCUUACAUCGUACAAGAAUUAUUGCAUUCAUGUGGGAAAAAUGAUUCCGUCACACAUCAUGGGAGAGAGAAUCUUCAUCGAGUUCCAUCACUCAUCGUGGCGAGAGAAAGGGAGUCUCGCUGUGUCGGGUCCCCCGUGUAUGCCUCGCACGAUCCGGCGCUGUCAAGAUGGGGAGAAAAAAAAAGUAAGGUGAUCACCAUGAUCCCGGGCAAUGCUAUGGAAAAUACACGAGUUUCGAGGAAAGAG
Molecule: long non-coding RNA, 465 nt
Organism: Cataglyphis hispanica
Lineage: Eukaryota; Metazoa; Arthropoda; Insecta; Hymenoptera; Formicidae
Exons: 4
Source: RefSeq, a predicted model, not a curated record